AGAGUUUGAUCAUGGCUCAGCCUGAACGCUGGCGGCGUGGCUAAGACAUGCAAGUCGAACGGGUGUAGCAAUACACCAGUGGCGGACGGGUGAGUAAUGUAUCGCUAACGUACCCUUCAGUCUGGGAUAGCUGCCCGAAAGGGCAGGUAAUACCACACAAGACCACGGAGAGGCAUCUCUCAGUGCUCAAAGCAGCAAUGCGCUGAAGGAGCGGGCGAUAUCGUAUCAGCUUGUUGGUGAGGUAACGGCUCACCAAGGCGACGACGCGUAGCUGGUCUGAGAGGACGGCCAGCCACAUCGGGACUGAGACACUGCCCGGACUCCUACGGGGGGCUGCAGUAACGAAUCUUCCGCAAUGCACGAAAGUGUGACGGAGCGACGCCGCGUGCAGGAUGAAGUCCUUCGGGAUGUAAACUGCUGUCAGGGGAAAGAAAGUUCUGAUCUACCCCAGAGGAAGAGGCGGCUAACUCUGUGCCAGCAGCCGCGGUAAUACAGAGGCCUCGAGCGUUAGGCGGAAUCACUGGGCUUAAAGCGUGUGUAGGCGGAGUUCUAAGUACCUUGUGAAAUCCCACGGCUCAACCGUGGAACUGCUUGGUAUACUGGUUCUCUUGAGCCAUCUAGGGGCGAGCGGAACAAGUGGUGGAGCGGUGAAAUGCGUAGAUAUCACUUGGAACGCCAACGGUGAAAACAGCUCGCUGGGGAUGUGCUGACGCUGAGACACGAAAGCCAGGGGAGCAAACGGGAUUAGAUACCCCGGUAGUCCUGGCCCUAAACGAUGUCCACUAGAUCGUAGUUGCUCUGACGUAAUUAUGGUCGAAGCAAAAGUGCUAAGUGGACCGCCUGGGAAGUACGGUCGCAAGGCUAAACUCAAAGGAAUUGACGGGGCUCACACAAGCGGUGAGCAUGUGGUUUAAUUCGAAGCACGCGCAGAACCUUACCUG
RNAcentral lists this ribosomal RNA (941 nucleotides) under uncultured bacterium. Its description in RNAcentral is "bacterial SSU rRNA". It matches the Rfam family "Bacterial small subunit ribosomal RNA", at positions 8 to 977 of the family's 1533-position model. The record is from RNAcentral.